ACGAACGCUGGCGGCAGGCUUAACACAUGCAAGUCGAGCGCCCCGCAAGGGGAGCGGCAGACGGGUGAGUAACGCGUGGGAAUCUACCCAUCUCUACGGAACAACUCCGGGAAACUGGAGCUAAUACCGUAUACGUCCUUCGGGAGAAAGAUUUAUCGGAGAUGGAUGAGCCCGCGUUGGAUUAGCUAGUUGGUGGGGUAAUGGCCUACCAAGGCGACGAUCCAUAGCUGGUCUGAGAGGAUGAUCAGCCACACUGGGACUGAGACACGGCCCAGACUCCUACGGGAGGCAGCAGUGGGGAAUAUUGGACAAUGGGCGCAAGCCUGAUCCAGCCAUGCCGCGUGAGUGAUGAAGGCCCUAGGGUUGUAAAGCUCUUUCAACGGUGAAGAUAAUGACGGUAACCGUAGAAGAAGCCCCGGCUAACUUCGU
RNAcentral lists this ribosomal RNA (429 nucleotides) under uncultured bacterium. RNAcentral's name for it is "bacterial SSU rRNA". It matches the Rfam family "Bacterial small subunit ribosomal RNA", at positions 29 to 506 of the family's 1533-position model. The record is from RNAcentral.